RNAcentral lists this ribosomal RNA (518 nucleotides) under Staphylococcus gallinarum. RNAcentral's name for it is "bacterial SSU rRNA". It matches the Rfam family "Bacterial small subunit ribosomal RNA", at positions 57 to 557 of the family's 1533-position model. The record is from RNAcentral. Lineage: Bacteria; Bacillati; Bacillota; Bacilli; Caryophanales; Staphylococcaceae.
GCAAGUCGAGCGAACAGAUAAGGAGCUUGCUCCUUUGACGUUAGCGGCGGACGGGUGAGUAACACGUGGGUAACCUACCUAUAAGACUGGAAUAACUCCGGGAAACCGGGGCUAAUGCCGGAUAACAUAUAGAACCGCAUGGUUCUAUAGUGAAAGAUGGUUUUGCUAUCACUUAUAGAUGGACCCGCGCCGUAUUAGCUAGUUGGUAAGGUAAUGGCUUACCAAGGCGACGAUACGUAGCCGACCUGAGAGGGUGAUCGGCCACACUGGAACUGAGACACGGUCCAGACUCCUACGGGAGGCAGCAGUAGGGAAUCUUCCGCAAUGGGCGAAAGCCUGACGGAGCAACGCCGCGUGAGUGAUGAAGGGUUUCGGCUCGUAAAACUCUGUUAUUAGGGAAGAACAUAUGUGUAAGUAACUGUGCACAUCUUGACGGUACCUAAUCAGAAAGCCACGGCUAACUACGUGCCAGCAGCCGCGGUAAUACGUAGGUGGCAAGCGUUAUCCGGAAUUAUUGG